RNAcentral lists this ribosomal RNA (406 nucleotides) under uncultured bacterium. Its description in RNAcentral is "partial 16S ribosomal RNA". It matches the Rfam family "Bacterial small subunit ribosomal RNA", at positions 29 to 526 of the family's 1533-position model. The record is from RNAcentral.
AUUGAACGCUGGCGGCAGGCCUAACACAUGCAAGUCGAACGAGUGGCGGACGGGUGAGUAAUGUCUGGGAAACUGCCUGAUGGAGGGGGAUAACUACUGGAAACGGUAGCUAAUACCGCAUACCAUCAGAUGUGCCCAGAUGGGAUUAGCUAGUGGGUGGGGGAACGGCUCACCAAGGCGACGAUCCCUAGCUGGUCUGAGAGGAUGACCAGCCAAACUGGAACUGAGACACGGUCCAGACUCCUACGGGAGGAAGCAGUGGGGAAUAUUGCACAAUGGGCGAAAGCCGGAUGCAGCAAGGCCGCGGGUAUGAAGAAGGCCUUCGGGUUGUAAAGUACGUUCAGCGGGGAGGCGGUACCCGAAGAAGAAGCACCGGCUAACUCCGUGCCAGCAGCCGCGGUAAUUC